UACGUGAGGGGCAAACGUUGUUCGGUGUCACUGGGCUUAAAGAGCGCGUAGGCGGUUAGGCAAGUAAGGUGUGAAAGCCCACGGCUCACCCGUGGAAUUGCGCCUUAUACUGCUUGACUUGAGGGCCAGAGGGGUAGGAGGAACUCUAGGUGUAGCGGUGAAAUGCGCAGAUAUCUAGAGGAAGGCCGAUGGCGAAGGCAUCCUACUGGCUGGUUUCUGACGCUGAGGCGCGAAAGCGUGGGUAGCGAACAGG
This 253-nucleotide unclassified non-coding RNA is filed under the name uncultured Planctomycetota bacterium. RNAcentral's name for it is "uncultured planctomycete contains 16S-23S intergenic spacer region". It matches the Rfam family "Bacterial small subunit ribosomal RNA", at positions 524 to 776 of the family's 1533-position model. The record is from RNAcentral. Lineage: Bacteria; Pseudomonadati; Planctomycetota.